RNAcentral lists this ribosomal RNA (496 nucleotides) under uncultured bacterium. RNAcentral's name for it is "partial 16S ribosomal RNA". It matches the Rfam family "Bacterial small subunit ribosomal RNA", at positions 28 to 523 of the family's 1533-position model. The record is from RNAcentral.
GAUGAACGCUAGCGGCAGGCCUAACACAUGCAAGUCGAGGGGUAGAGGUUGCUUGCAACCUUGAGACCGGCGCACGGGUGCGUAACGCGUAUGCAAUCUGCCUUGUACUGAGGGAUAGCCCAGAGAAAUUUGGAUUAAUACCUCAUAGUAUCUUUUCCCGGCAUCGGGAGAUUAUUAAAGUUCCAACGGUAUCAGAUGAGCAUGCGUCCCAUUAGCUAGUUGGUAUGGUAACGGCAUACCAAGGCAAUGAUGGGUAGGGGUCCUGAGAGGGAGAUCCCCCACACUGGUACUGAGACACGGACCAGACUCCUACGGGAGGCAGCAGUGAGGAAUAUUGGUCAAUGGGCGCAAGCCUGAACCAGCCAUGCCGCGUGCAGGAUGAAGCAUCUAUGGUGUGUAAACUGCUUUUAUACGGGAAGAAACACCGGUUCGUGAACCGGCUUGACGGUACCGUAAGAAUAAGGAUCGGCUAACUCCGUGCCAGCAGCCGCGGUAA